AGCGGUGUAGCUCAGCUAGGUAGAGCGCCGGGCUCAUAACCCGGACGUCGCGGGUUCAAAUCCCGCCACCGCAACCA
Molecule: transfer RNA, 77 nt
Filed under: Mycobacterium koreense
Lineage: Bacteria; Bacillati; Actinomycetota; Actinomycetes; Mycobacteriales; Mycobacteriaceae
Description: Mycolicibacillus koreensis tRNA-Met
Rfam family: tRNA
About the family: Transfer RNA (tRNA) molecules are approximately 80 nucleotides in length.
Source: RNAcentral